RNAcentral lists this ribosomal RNA (497 nucleotides) under uncultured bacterium. RNAcentral's name for it is "partial 16S ribosomal RNA". It matches the Rfam family "Bacterial small subunit ribosomal RNA", at positions 28 to 507 of the family's 1533-position model. The record is from RNAcentral.
GAUGAACGCUGGCGGCGUGCCCAAUACAUGCAAGUAGAACGCUGAAGGAAGGAGCUUGCUCUUUCCGGAUGAGUUGCGAACGGGUGAGUAACGCGUAGGUAACCUGCCUGGUAGCGGGGGAUAACUAUUGGAAACGAUAGCUAAUACCGCAUAACAGUAGAUGUUGCAUGAUAUCUACUUAAAAGGUGCAAUUGCACCACUACCAGAUGGACCUGCGUUGUAUUAGCUAGUUGGUGAGGUAACGGCUCACCAAGGCGACGAUACAUAGCCGACCUGAGAGGGUGAUCGGCCACACUGGGACUGAGACACGGCCCAGACUCCUACGGGAGGCAGCAGUAGGGAAUCUUCGGCAAUGGACGGAAGUCUGACCGAGCAACGCCGCGUGAGUGAAGAAGGUUUUCGGAUCGUAAAGCUCUGUUGUAAGAGAAGAACGAGUGUGAGAGUGGAAAGUUCACACUGUGACGGUAUCUUACCAGAAAGGGACGGCUAACUACGUG